This 374-nucleotide ribosomal RNA is filed under the name uncultured beta proteobacterium PV3K. Its description in RNAcentral is "bacterial SSU rRNA". It matches the Rfam family "Bacterial small subunit ribosomal RNA", at positions 134 to 503 of the family's 1533-position model. Lineage: Bacteria; Pseudomonadati; Pseudomonadota; Betaproteobacteria; Nitrosomonadales; Nitrosomonadaceae. The record is from RNAcentral.
AAGUGGGGGAUAACGCAUCGAAAGAUGUGCUAAUACCGCAUAUCUCUCAGGAGGAAAGCAGGGGAUCGAAAGACCUUGCGCUAAAGGAGCGGUUGAUGUCUGAUUAGCUAGUUGGUGGGGUAAAGGCUUACCAAGGCAACGAUCAGUAGCUGGUCUGAGAGGACGACCAGCCCACACUGGGACUGAGACACGGCCCANACUCCUACGGGAGGCAGCAGUGGGGAAUUUUGGACAACGGGCGAAAGCCUGAUCCAGCCAUGCCGCGUGAGUGAAGAAGGCCUUCGGGUUGUAAAGCUCUUUUAGUCGGAAAGAAAGAGUCAUAGUAAAUAGCUAUGAUUUAUGACGGUACCGACAGAAAAAGCACCGGCUAACUC